Molecule: ribosomal RNA, 433 nt
Filed under: uncultured bacterium
Lineage: Bacteria
Description: partial 16S ribosomal RNA
Rfam family: Bacterial small subunit ribosomal RNA
Source: RNAcentral
AACGAACGCUGGCGGCAUGCCUAACACAUGCAAGUCGAACGAAGCCUUCGGGCUUAGUGGCGCACGGGUGCGUAACGCGUGGGAAUCUGCCCCUUUCUUCGGAAUAACAGUUAGAAAUGACUGCUAAUACCGGAUGAAGUCUUCGGACCAAAGAUUUAUCGGCAAGGGAUGAGCCCGCGUAGGAUUAGGUAGUUGGUGGGGUAAAGGCCUACCAAGCCGACGAUCCUUAGCUGGUCUGAGAGGAUGAUCAGCCACACUGGGACUGAGACACGGCCCAGACUCCUACGGGAGGCAGCAGUGGGGAAUAUUGGACAAUGGACGAAAGUCUGAUACAGCAAUGCCGCGUGAGUGAUGAAGGCCUUAGGGUUGUAAAGCUCUUUUACCAGGGAUGAUAAUGACAGUACCUGGAGAAUAAGAUCCGGCUAACUCCGUG